RNAcentral lists this ribosomal RNA (79 nucleotides) under Acinetobacter baumannii. Its description in RNAcentral is "partial 16S ribosomal RNA". It matches the Rfam family "Bacterial small subunit ribosomal RNA", at positions 1 to 79 of the family's 1533-position model. The record is from RNAcentral. Lineage: Bacteria; Pseudomonadati; Pseudomonadota; Gammaproteobacteria; Moraxellales; Moraxellaceae.
UAACUGAAGAGUUUGAUCAUGGCUCAGAUUGAACGCUGGCGGCAGGCUUAACACAUGCAAGUCGAGCGGGGGAAGGUAG